This 373-nucleotide long non-coding RNA is filed under the name Parus major (Great Tit). RNAcentral describes it as "lncRNA (ENSPMJG00000016682.1)". The record is from RNAcentral. Lineage: Eukaryota; Metazoa; Chordata; Aves; Passeriformes; Paridae.
GAAACAUGAUGACAAGAACUGUUGCUUAUUACUUUCCUAAGCCCUAAUUGUGUACCUUGAUCCACAGGACAAAAUAUUGCACCAGGACAGAUCAUAGCUCAAGAGCUCCAACUAGAACAUCAACCCCAAGGCCUGCCUGAUGCAGUGUUUGUACAACACUUAUCAUGAAGAGUCCAUUGAGCUGGGCAAAAUCAGCAGAAGUUAUUGCCAAGGACAGACUUGGUAAUCAGAUCUUGAAAAAGAAAAAAAACCCUAAAAGUUUGUGCCUAUGCUGGAGUAAUUCCAGUUACAGAUUGUCAUCAUCUCCAUACUGCUGGGAGAAACUUAGAUCCAUCACAACCUUUCCAUGCUGGGCAAGCAGACAAAGAAGUUC